This 296-nucleotide small RNA is filed under the name Treponema bryantii. Its description in RNAcentral is "5' ureB small RNA". It matches the Rfam family "5' ureB small RNA". The record is from Rfam by way of RNAcentral. Lineage: Bacteria; Pseudomonadati; Spirochaetota; Spirochaetia; Treponematales; Treponemataceae.
CCGUACCUACCUGCUCUGGAGAAAUAAAGUGAAUGUGAGUAUCUAUUCCGCCGGCCGUAACAAUGAGGCCCUCUCCUGCAAGAGCCUCAGUUGCUGCACCUACGGUCAUACUCGGAGUAACUCCGUCCAUUGUGUCGGGGUUACCGGCUUUUCCGAUUCCUGCUAUUUUUCCAUCUUUUAUUCCUAUGUCUGCUUUAUAAAUUCCGGUAUAGUCUAGAAUAAUGCAGUUUGUAAUUACAAGAUCAAGAUCGCCGUCUUCUCUUGUUGUAUUUACAGACUGCCCCAUUCCAUCGCGA